Molecule: ribosomal RNA, 494 nt
Filed under: uncultured bacterium
Lineage: Bacteria
Description: partial 16S ribosomal RNA
Rfam family: Bacterial small subunit ribosomal RNA
Source: RNAcentral
GACGAACGCUGGCGGCGUGCUUAACACAUGCAAGUCGAACGGAAAGGCCUGCUUUCCCUUGUGGAUUGCGGGUACUCGAGUGGCGAACGGGUGAGUAACACGUGAGUGAUCUGCCCCCAACUUGGGUAUAAGCCUGGGAAACUGGGUCUAAUUCCCGAUAGGACUGCAGGGUGGUGCCUGUGGUGGAAAACGAUUUUCUAGUGGUUGGGGAUGAGCCCGCGGCCUAUCAGCUUGUUGGUGGGGUAAUGGCCUACCAAGGCGGCGACGGGUAGCCGGCCGGAGAGGGUGGACGGCGACAUUGGGACUGGGACCCGGCCCAGACUCCUACGGGAGGUAGCAGUGGGGAAGAUUGGGCAAUGGGCGGAAGCCUGAUGCAGCGACGCCGCGGGGGGGAUGACGGCCUUCGGGUUGUAAACUCCUUUCGACCGCGAGGAAGCCACCUGGUUGGAAGGGUGGUGACGGUAGUGGGAGAAGAAGCACCGGCUAACUACGUG